Molecule: long non-coding RNA, 1278 nt
Filed under: Chrysemys picta bellii (western painted turtle)
Lineage: Eukaryota; Metazoa; Chordata; Testudines; Emydidae
Description: lncRNA (ENSCPBG00000001710.1)
Source: RNAcentral
CUCAAGCAAAGCAGCUCCCAGAAGCAGCGGCAUCUCCCCUCUCCGGCUCCUACACGGAGGCACAGCCAGGUGGCUUGGGGCGCUGCCCCAUCUGCAGGUGCCCUCCCUGCAGUUCCCAUUGGCCAUGGGAGCCCCUUGGCUGACCCUAUGCAUAGGAGCCAGAGGGGGGACAUACCGUAGCUUCCGGGAGCUGCGCAGAGCCACAGCACAUGCGGAGUGGGGCAAGCCCCUGGCUGGAGUGCCAGAGUGGAGCAAGCCUCGGACCCUGAUCCCCAGUAGGAGCUCGAGGGCUGGAUUAAAAUGUCUGAAGGGGCUCCCGGGCCAUAGUUUGCCUACCCCUGGAUUAAUGCAUUCUUACAUAAAUACACUGCUCUGUGUGUGUGUGUGUGUAUGUAUACGUGUGUGUAUGUGUAUAUAUACAUGCUAGCCAGCAUAUACUGAUCAACAGUUACGACCUGGAAAAGUGUUUGCUAUACCGCUUAACCAGCAUAUGUUUGUUAUUGUUCUCCAUCAUUGUAGACAUUAUUUGAGUGAACUAUUCCCCAAUUUCCUCAUGCAGGACUGGUGAGCAAUGUGGUCUUCACAAGUCAUACUACAGAGCAGAGACACCCACUCCUUGUACAACUUCAGAGCCUCAUACGAGCAGCAAAUCCUGCUGUUUCAUUUAUCUUGGCAGAAAAUGGCCUUGUAACUAGGUAAUACUAGCUUCCAGUUCUUUGAUUUUCAAGUUGCUGUUCUAAAAAUGGGAAACUCUCUUACAAGAAAAGCUGAUCCUCUUUGACUUUCACCUAUGAACAGAAAGUGGACUUAGUAUGUAAACCAGAAAAAUGCUUAUUUUUCUUAGUCAUUACUUCCCUGAUAACUUAUCUGUUCUUAGAAUUUUGACAUUUUAAGAAUGUCAUCUACACUUCAACCAGAUGUUCUGAUACAGCAUGAUACACUAAGGAUUUAAGUGUCAAAGGAAUACAUUAAAUGGCCAUAAGCUAGAAAUAGUACAGUAUGAUUUAGGAAAAGUUAAGGUUUAAAAUGGAUGCAUCUUUUCAUUUGCAGAGUAAUUUUCAUGUUAGGUUUUUCUUUAUACAGCAGUGCAGGUAAAAUUCUCUUUCUACAGAUUAUAGGUUUAUAUUAAUAUUUGUUCCGUUAGAGCUCAAUUGUGCAACCUCUACGCACAUUGAGUAGCAUGGAUGAGUAAAUCCACUCAACUUUAAUGGGACCAAACUCAAUGAGUAAGUCCUACUCAACAAUAAAAGUUGAAUUGAGGAUCCUAUAAAGUUCUUA